Molecule: long non-coding RNA, 1905 nt
Organism: Dreissena polymorpha
Lineage: Eukaryota; Metazoa; Mollusca; Bivalvia; Myida; Dreissenidae
Exons: 3
Source: RefSeq, a predicted model, not a curated record
AGGUCACAUAACCCCAAACCGGAACUCCUGUUUUUAGGGUUACAUGCAGUCAGUUUGAUACUUAGCACACAUUGUUGAGUGCAUGCUGCCUAGGAUUUGUAAAAUACAUUGCAAAUGGUUGGUUUUGGUAUCAACUUGAAGGUAUAUUUGUAAGCAAUAAGAAAAUAAGCCAUUUUUGUGCUCUACUUUUUGUGUUGAUGGUUCCCGGCUUCGAAAGUAGGUCAUACUAUUUGAGCCCAAAAUGGUUGUCUGCACAGCUGUCAAAACCGGUUUGCCUAUUCUAAGGUAAAUAUUUUGAGUUUGCGCGUAUAGAAUUUAAUGACAUGCAUUUUUUUCAAAAGUAUAUGCAUUAAUCUUUCCAAUGAUGUAUGAUGAUAUAGUGGGUAUGCGCUUGAUCAUGGUAAAAAUUGAUAUCGAACUUCAACUAUUUUAUAUGUAAUAUAGAAGGAAAUUAAUUGCGCAUGCGUAACCUUUAAGCACAUCCGACCAAGUUAGUCGUCUGCCAGAAUUUUGACAUUUGACCAUCAAAAACUCUCUGUAUUGCAAAACAUAACUGCCAGAUGUCAUUUUGACCCAAAUAAGGGCUGUUUGCAAUUGGGCUGUUGCACUUGGGGUCAUAAGGGGGGUAAAUGCUGGAAAAUCACACCGAAACCUGUUCCGGAGACAUAUUCUAAGACUACUUAAACACCCGGCGGUGUCGAAAUGGGUCUAUAGCUCUGCCUGAACUGUCGUCCAAUUGGUUUACAAGUCCGGCUGAAGUGACAGGCCAUCGAAAACUGUACAGUGUGACUGAUUCGGAGACGGCCCUCAACACUCGCCCAGUCGUGUCGAGAGGAUCGGUGUCUUUGCAGAUUACACGGAAUUGAGCACCCGGGCCAGACUGACACUUUCCGGAGCCUGCCCUAGACGGAACUCGAGCCGAGGAAUCAUAGGUCCAGGUGUGACAAAAGACUUAAAGCUCAUGUCUGACGAUGACUUUUUUAGUCAGGAAGCCAAGUGUGUUGUUUUUCCAUGCAAGCGAGCCCUUUUGUUGGGUCAAAUGACAUCAGCAUUGCUGCUUCUACAUGGAUUUUACCUAAAAUGUGCAAAAAAAAUAUAAAAAGUUUGUUCGAAUCCAGUUCAAAACCUGCUUUGAUGCACAAAUAUUGCCAUUGAUGAUUUUUUUCACUUAUUAAGCCAUAUGUAAGAUAAGCUUUGCCUAUUAGAAUCGAAAGACAUGCCUUGUAUGGAGUCUAAGUGCUGCAUGUAUGAUGUAACCGAGUUUGGCUUUUCUACCUUAAUUCUUGACGCGAAACGCUGUUACGCAUGGCGCUUUCAACGGCAACUUUUAUGAAUUAAUCUGUGUGUCAUUGUACCGGAACUUUGUGAUCUUUCUCAAAACAGAUUAUACCUGUGGGAAAAGUGCCUUUAAUUUAAAUUUGAAGGGGUUGGGUUCUCUUAAAGGUCACAUAACCCCAAACCGGAACUCCUGUUUUUAGGGUUACAUGCAGUCAGUUUGAUACUUAGCACACAUUGUUGAGUGCAUGCUGCCUAGGAUUUGUAAAAUACAUUGCAAAUGGUUGGUUUUGGUAUCAACUUGAAGGUAUAUUUGUAAGCAAUAAGAAAAUAAGCCAUUUUUGUGCUCUACUUUUUGUGUUGAUGGUUCCCGGCUUCGAAAGUAGGUCAUACUAUUUGAGCCCAAAAUGGUUGUCUGCACAGCUGUCAAAACCGGUUUGCCUAUUCUAAGGUAAAUAUUUUGAGUUUGCGCGUAUAGAAUUUAAUGACAUGCAUUUUUUUCAAAAGUAUAUGCAUUAAUCUUUCCAAUGAUGUAUGAUGAUAUAGUGGGUAUGCGCUUGAUCAUGGUAAAAAUUGAUAUCGAACUUCAACUAUUUUAUAUGUAAUAUAGAAGGAAAUUAAUUGCGCAUG